Molecule: long non-coding RNA, 2571 nt
Organism: Astatotilapia calliptera (eastern happy)
Lineage: Eukaryota; Metazoa; Chordata; Actinopteri; Cichliformes; Cichlidae
Source: Ensembl
ACGGAGGGGGUCAGUCGUUGGGAUGCGCAUGCGCAGACAGAGUGUGCGAGCGGCGGGCCUUGACCUUUUGGGGGAAAAAAACUCACGGACGGUGACAGCGAAACGGAUAACAGUCUUCAGUACCUGCUGGACUUUGAAGCUGUGGAUUCUGGGACUGUUAGAAAAGCUCCAACAAAAUGAGGAAGAGGAGAAACACAAUUAGGUUGAAUUACAAUUGGAUGGAAGGCGAGGACAAGGAGAAGGAAGCUUAGGAUGAGGAGGAAGAGAAGCAGCAGGAGCAUCUUUAGGGAUCCCUAUGAUGUCAUUGAGAGGCGGCGGCGAGAGGGGAGACCUCUGCUCAUCCAGCUGGAGAGCCUGACCAGGAGGAGUCGAACAUUAACUCAGCUCUUUCAGGGCACCCUGCAGACUCGGCUGUUGGCAUCGACGAGGGAUGACGUGAACGCCAAACUGGAGUCCAUCACAGGUCAACUGCAGCUCCUUGUCUCAGAGUGGGAGGGGUUUGAAGCACAAAGGGAGGAACUUGUCGUUUGGUUGGCUGAUAUGGAUGUGAGGUUGACCAGCUGACAGGAAACACCAGUGAAAAACUGAAACAACUGCAGGUGUGGGCUUGUUUUGAUAUGACAUAUAUUUGAUAUGAUACAUACAUCAGAGACAUUGUCCUAAACUGGACUAACAAAGGACAAUGAGUACAACAUGAAACGUCCAUUACAUAGCGUAAGGCUGUAGUUCAUUGAUCAUUUUAAUCAUAAACUUGUUGAAAUGUUUUUACUGAACAUGCAAACAUCUGCUGAUGAAAAUGUGUUGAUUUAUUGGUCUGUUAUGAAGCUAUUUGUAACCCAGUUCCUAAAAUCAUCUCAAACAGAAAGAGAAGAAAAAUUAAAACAUUUAAUGUUCAUUGUUCUGUUCUUACUGUCCCGGUUAAUGAAAGUGAAAUGAGAUCAAAAUAAUUAUUUAAACAUAGAAGGGAUGCAGAUUAUAUAUGAUAUGCUCUGGUCAAACAAGGGUUAAGUUUCUCAGAGGGUUGAUGAGCUCUGAUGAGAGCCUAUUGUUUUACUCCACUCCUCACAUGUCAGCCAAUCGGUGAAGCUCUAGGCAGCUCUUGUCCCUCCUUAGUACCAGCUCCCAAGUUUUCAGUCUCUUGCUUCUACAGCCGAACAGAGCAGACGGACUAAAACUUUUGUUAUCGGUAAGCUGGAGAAAUUAACCUCUAACGAGUUAAAAGAAAUACCAUCUAAACUGAUAUUUUUCACAAAUUAUGUAUUUGCACUUGUUGUUGUCAAGGGCAGAGCGAAACCGGAGGGUUUACUGAGCUGUGGCUCCAUGUAAAUGCUGAGCAUCCACUCGACGGCGGUAAGCUAAAUGUGGCUAAUCAGACACGUGAUGUGCGGAGUGUGGGUACAGUUGUUGCAUGUCUCUGAAACGCUGUUGUUAUGCUAGUUAGAUCGUUAACUAAGUCAUUAACAUGUGAAAAGCUGUAAAUGGUUAAAGCAGCUAAAAAUAACUUUAUGAGAGAUAAUUGUAAUCAGACUUUAUCCUGCUUCCUGUUUAAAUUUUGAUGUCAAUCAGUUUUACAAUACUCAGUAUUGAACACUUGGAGGUAAUUUUUAGUGUAUUUCCACUUGUACUGGUAGGCCUAUGGUACAAGCGGGAUUAAGCACGUCUAUUUUAAUACUCCUAUUUGUGGACUGAGUCCUUGUGUUUACGUGUUAUUGAAAUUGAUUAUUUGCACUUUGUUCAAUUUCUGAUAAGCAUUUGCAUAUUAUUCCAUUUCUUAAAAGGGGUAAUAUACUUAUUUAUUUGUGAUUAGAUAUAUAUGUACAGUGAGUUUAUUUUGAUCGAUGUAAUUAAUGUUUACAAUGAAAGUGAAUUAUAUGGUGACUAUAAUUCCUGCAUGUUUGCAACCUUGUAGAUAAUCUUUAAUGUUACUGCAGGUUACAAAUAAUUGAACCUUGAUACUGUGAAAUUUUGGAUAUUGAUACUUUGACCUUUGAAACUUGAUAUUUUAAUGUUGUACAACAUGACUGAACUGAUGAUGAUUGAAUUGAUGAUAGCUGAUCUGAAUAGUAGUUACUGCACUGUGACACUACUUUAGUUUAAUUUGUGAGAGUUAUCCUUAAAGGGCACGUGACAUAUAUUUGGCCAUUGUUUAUAGGUCAGGUUUUUAUAUGGGACGAAUCCAAAGACCAGGUCAGCGAUUCCAGAACCCAGAGUGUUCCAGUGUUCACUGGAUGGCGAGCCAACCCAAGAUCCUAGGAGGCGAUAUACAUAUACACGCACGAUCAUUUGCACAUUGAUGGACUACAAUCCUCUACUGUACAAGUAGUACGGUAGGACAGACAAUCACACACACACACUCCUUGUCAGACGAAUUCUAUGGGCCCCACCGGUACCAUUUGGACUUAAAAAAGACUAAUUCUUUUACUUGUGCACAAUUUUAUUUAAUUCUAUUUUUUUUUUGCUACUUUGGGGGAAAUUUUUAUACUUGACAUUCUGUUAAAACCUGUUGUAAUACUGUGUUGUUUACAAAUUUCUUUUACAAGGCUUAACAUCACUAAAGUACUUUUAAAGCCA